GACGAUGGGGGCUAGCGUUGUUCGGAAUUACUGGGCGUAAAGCGCGUGUAGGCGGUUGUUCAAGUCAGGUGUGAAAGCCUUGAGCUCAACUCAAGAAAUGCACUUGAUACUGGAUGACUAGAGGACCGGAGAGGAUAGUGGAAUUCCCAGUGUAGUGGUGAAAUACGUAGAGAUUGGGAAGAACACCAGUGGCGAAGGCGGCUAUCUGGACGGUUUCUGACGCUAAGACGCGAAAGCGUGGGGAGCAAACAGG
This 253-nucleotide ribosomal RNA is filed under the name uncultured bacterium. RNAcentral's name for it is "partial 16S ribosomal RNA". It matches the Rfam family "Bacterial small subunit ribosomal RNA", at positions 524 to 776 of the family's 1533-position model. The record is from RNAcentral.